This 1478-nucleotide ribosomal RNA is filed under the name uncultured Bordetella sp. RNAcentral's name for it is "partial 16S-23S ribosomal RNA intergenic spacer". It matches the Rfam family "Bacterial small subunit ribosomal RNA". Lineage: Bacteria; Pseudomonadati; Pseudomonadota; Betaproteobacteria; Burkholderiales; Alcaligenaceae. The record is from RNAcentral.
GGUUUGAUCCGGCUCAGAUUGAACGCUGCUGGAUGCUUUACACAUGCAAGUCGAACGGGCGGCACGGACUUCGGUCUCAGGCGAGUGGCGAACGGGUGAGUAAUUACUCGGAACGUGCCUAGUAGUGGGGACAAUCACGUGAAAGCGUAGCUAAUACCGCAUACGCCCUUCGUGGAAAGACCCGGGCCCGCACUACAGAGCGCACGAUAUCGGAUUAGCCAGUUGGUGGGGUAACGGCUCACCAAGGCGACGAUCCGAAGGUUUGAGAGGGACGACCAGCCACACUGGGGACUGAGACACGGCCCAGACUCCUACGGAGGCAGCAGUGGGGAAUUUUGGACAAUGGGGAAACCCUGAUCCAGCCAUCCGCGCAAAAAGGAUGAAGGCCUUCGGGUUGUAAAGCACUUCUUCUUUACAGGAAAGAAACGGCACGGGAUAAUACCUGCAAACUGACGGUACCUGCAGAAUAAAGGCACCGGCGACCACGUGCCAGCAGCCGCGUAAUAAUGGUAGGGUGCAAGUGCGUUAAUCGGAAUUACUGGGCGUAAAGCGUGGCGCAGGCGGUUCGGAAAGAAAGAUGUGAACUUCAGAGCUUAACUUUGGAACUUACUUUUAACUUCACUGAGCUAGAGUGUGUCAGGAGGGAGGAAUUCAUGCAGUUAGUGAAAUGCGCAGAUAUGCGGAGGAACACCGAUGGCGGCAGCCUGGGGAUAACACUGACGCUCAGUGCACGAAAGCGUGGGGAGCAAAACAGGAUUAGAUACCCUGGUAGUCCACGCCCUAAACGAUGUCAGCUGUUGGGGCCUUCGCCUUUGCAGCGCAGCUAACGCGUGGUUAACGCCGGGGAGUACGGUCGCAAGAUUAAAACUCAAAGGAAUUGACGGGGACCUGCACAAGCGGUGGAUGAUGUGGAUUAAUUCGAUGCAACGCGAAAACCUUACCUACCCUUGACAUGUCUGGAAUCCCGAAGAUUUAGAGUGCUCAAGAGAACCGGAACACAGGUGUUGCAUGGCUGUCGCCGGGUCAAAGUCGUGGAGAUGUUGGUUAAGUCCCGCAACGAGCGCAACCUGUCAUUAGUUGCUACGAAAGGGCACUCUAAUGAGACUGCCGGUGACAAACCGGAGGAAGGUAGAUGACGUCAAGUCCGCGGCCUUUAUGGGUAGGGCUUCACACGUCAUACAAUGGUCGGGACAGAGGGUCGCCAACCCGCGAGGGGGAGCCAAUCCCAGAAACCCGAUGUAGUCCGGAUCGCAGUCUGCAACUCGACUGCGUGAAGUCGGAAUCGCUAGUAAUCGGAUCAGCAUGUCGCGGUGAAUACGUUCCCGGGUCUUGUACACACCGCCCGUCACACCAUGGGAGUGGGUUUUACCAGAAGUAGUUAGCCUAACCGUAAGGAGGGCGAUUACCACGGUAGGAUUCAUGACUUAAAGUAAAGCUGUAACAAGGUGGAAGCUCUGAAAGACACCUUGAUGCUCCCA